Molecule: unclassified non-coding RNA, 780 nt
Filed under: Hevea brasiliensis (rubber tree)
Lineage: Eukaryota; Viridiplantae; Streptophyta; Magnoliopsida; Malpighiales; Euphorbiaceae
Source: RNAcentral
GGAAUUUUGAAUCCGAAAGGAAAUCAAGUUCAGAAAAAAAAAAUUAUAAAACUCAAAACGAACAUAUUAUAUAAAUCUACUCUGAGUGAAAUUGGCAUUUCAAAGAGCCAUCAGUUACUGCUUUUAAACCAGAAGAAAAACCAUUGCCUAGCAUAAAGUAUAAUUAACCCAUCAGGUGGAAACAUGAGCAACAAGUUCAAUACACAUAUCCAUUACGUGUAUAGAAUAAAAACGAUUAAACAAAAAUAACUUAAGUUCCCAGAUUCUGAUUAUUACACAUCAAACUCUGACUGAUCCAAGCCAUCAUCUCUUCUUACUAAUCAGAGUACAUAAACAACAGUGAAUUUAAUAAAUCCCAACCAAAAGCAGUAUCCCACACUAAGUAAACCAACCAAUUAGAAAAACACUGAACCAUCGAAUCUGGCCAUACCCAUCAAGAUUUUUCGCCCAGAAACUGAUAAUUAAGGUUCAGAUAUAUCUUAUUUAUUCGAAAAAUUGAAGGUCAUAAGAUCAAGAAAGCUCUCUUUUCAACAAACUUCGGUGGCCCAUAAUUUUUUUUCAAAAGUAAAGAAAGAUAAUAAUUAUAGCAAUGGCAUGUACUGUGAUCUAAAACAGAGAGAAAGAUAGGUAGCAGAAUAGCAGAAAAUUUUGAAACGUAACAGCAAAAAUCUUGAAUUUCUGUGUGCGACAAGCAGAGGAGACUCACCUAAAGAAGCGGAUUUGUGUUGGGUUAAAAGAUCUGCGAGAAGCUGUUGAUGAAUGAUGACUUGAUGUGUCCGC